GAUUAACGCUAGCGGCAGGCAUAAUACAUGCAAGUUGAACGGCAGCACAGGUAGCACUACUGGGUGGCGAGUGGCGCACGGGUGCGUAACACGUAUGCAACCUACCCUAUACAGGCGAAUAACCUUUAGAAAUGAGGGCUAAUACGCCGUAGUAUUACAGAUGGGCAUCUAUUUGUAAUUAAAGAUUUAUCGGUAUAGGAUGGGCAUGCGUCCCAUUAGUUAGUUGGUAAGGUAACGGCUUACCAAGACGAUGAUGGUUAGGGGAUCUGAGAGGACUUACCCCCACACUGGUACUGAGCCACGGACCAGACUCCUACGGCAGGCAGCCGUAAGGAAUAGUGGGCACUGGCCGCGAGGCUGACCCAGCCAUGCCGCGUGCAGGAAGGCGGCCUUAUGGGUUGUAAACUGCUUUUAUACGGGAAUAAUAGAGUGUACGCGUACAUUUAUGCAAGUAACGUAUGAAUAAGCAUCGGCUAACUCCGUG
This 484-nucleotide ribosomal RNA is filed under the name uncultured bacterium. RNAcentral's name for it is "partial 16S ribosomal RNA". It matches the Rfam family "Bacterial small subunit ribosomal RNA", at positions 28 to 507 of the family's 1533-position model. The record is from RNAcentral.